RNAcentral lists this long non-coding RNA (472 nucleotides) under Heterocephalus glaber (naked mole-rat). Its description in RNAcentral is "lncRNA (ENSHGLG00000032543.1)". Lineage: Eukaryota; Metazoa; Chordata; Mammalia; Rodentia; Bathyergidae. The record is from RNAcentral.
GUUUGCUACUGCGCACUCUCAGUUAUGUUUGUUUGGUUUUUUUUGGUGCCGGGGAUCGAACUAGGGUGCUUGAACUACUGCAUACUCUCAAUCAGCCUGAGGUCCAGCUUGGCUGUUCUAGGACAUCAUAUGAAUACAAUCAUACAAUGUGGACUCUGGGCAAGGCUUCCACCACUCCUCCUGAUGUUUCUGAGAUUCAUCCAGGUUCCUGCAUAUCUUUGUGUCUUCACCGCCUACAAAGCUCUGGUUCUCAAUCAAGUGCUCUCAGCGAAAGAAAUUCAUAAUUGGAAUCCAGGAAGGCAUGACUGAUGGCCAACCCAUGCUUGUGAGCCUUGAUAGGCUGGGUCUGAGGGUCCUGAGACUGAAAUAAGGAAUUCAAACCACCCUCUUGCAGCAGGUUUGCCGACUCAUGGAAAAUGAAUUUUCCGGUCUUGUAAGAGGCUUGGGAAAGGUUUGUUAGACAGAGAUUUAG